UGAGGGUUAUAAUCCCUAAGCGCGGCCGAAGGCUGCCUACGCAAAAAUGUGUUCUCUGCAAAAGGUGUUCAGCCGCUUUUCUUUGGCAGCACAGGUAGGAGAAUACGUAGUGAGGGUUAUAAUCCCUAGGGGCGGCCGAAGGCCGCCUACGCAAAAAGGAGUUGGACGCACAAAAACUUUUUUAAUAGAGUGACAGCAGCAAUUUACCUCAAUUUUAUUUUUAAUAGUGUGGCAACACUAGUUUUCCUCCGUCUUAUUUAUAUUAACUUCACGAGAUUGUUGUGCGGAUUUUCAACAUUGCAAUAUUCCAAUUUAAUACAGAAUUUCGUAAAAAUUUACACUUGAAACAUCACAAAUGUAUAAAAACUAAUGAAUACGUGUUCAGUUGAGUUCAUUUACUCCAUUUAUCUGCUUCAAAUUCAUCAAAACAUAGUGCGAAAAGUGCAAGUGUUUUUUGCGAAUAACUCUUUAAUGAAU
Long non-coding RNA from Rhagoletis zephyria (snowberry fruit fly), 477 nucleotides. RefSeq lists it as uncharacterized. Lineage: Eukaryota; Metazoa; Arthropoda; Insecta; Diptera; Tephritidae. The record is from RefSeq and is a predicted model, not a curated record.